This 247-nucleotide ribosomal RNA is filed under the name uncultured archaeon. RNAcentral describes it as "partial 16S ribosomal RNA". It matches the Rfam family "Archaeal small subunit ribosomal RNA", at positions 691 to 937 of the family's 1478-position model. The record is from RNAcentral.
CCGACGGUGAGAGGUGAAAGCUGGGGGAGCAAACCGGAUUAGAUACCUGGGUAGUCCCAGCCGUAAACGAUGUGCGUUAGGUGUAUCGGUGACCACGAGUCACCGAGGUGCCGAAGAGAAAUCGUGAAACGUACCGCCUGGGAAGUACGGUCGCAAGGCUGAAACUUAAAGGAAUUGGCGGGGGAGCACCACAACAGGUGGAGCCUGCGGUUUAAUCGGACUCAACGCCGGGAAACUCACCAGAUAA